UUCCUUCCUUUCCUUCCUUCCUUUCCUUCCUUCCUUUCUUUCUUUCUUCUACCAGUUCAGUUUCUGUAAACGAUAGAGGACUGUCUACGCUACUUCAUCCUGGGUGAAUUUUGGUGGCUUACAAUUUUCCAGCAACUGGUCCAUUUCAACUAAGGUGUAGCAUUUAUUUUCAUGGUGCUGACUGCAGUCUGACCAUGUUGUUCUUUUUGUUCUCCGAGUCUGUAGUGAAAUCUCUUCUACCAUCCCUGCUAUUUAUACCUUCUUUCCUCCCUCUUUUGCCCUUCCUGCUAAAGAUGUAUCAAUUGAUCAUUUCAAACAACCAGUUUUCCAUUUAAUGGAGAUUCACCAUUCUUUUUUCUCCCCCCCUUCGCCGUCCCCCCUACCCCCCUACAUGUGUUGUUUGCAUUGUCGUGGUUUUACUUCCUGGUUUUUUAGUAGAAGAAAUUCUUAUUUACACGUAUCGGGACUUUUGAGAUGAUUUCCAUCAGUACGAGCAGCCUUUUUAACUAGAUGUAAAGCCACUGAUCGUGAAGGCAGAAAUUCCCAAGGGUGUGUUGUCACCGUGGUACAAAUAUGUACAAUUUACUGAAAGUCUACUCGAUGAAAGUAUUCGAAUGCUUAUGAGAAGAGCAUGUGUUAGUCAGGCAUUGCUUGUUCUUAUCAUCGUUCCUGAGCCUGGGUUACAAAGAAUCUGCACGGAGUUAACCUCGUUCAAUAUGUUUCUCCAUGUUACAUCACAUGCCUCAUGGAUGCAAUCAGUGGUGCCAUUUCUCAAACCUUUAUGCUAUGCCAUCAGCAUUCUAAGCUCUGGACAUGUGUUAUCUCAUGUCAUCCUCGGAGGAAGCCUAGAAGGUGGGUCUCAUCAUCAGCCCCAUUUUACACCUAGGAAGCGGAGGGACAGAAAGGUGGAGUAAGAUGAAUAAUCACGGGUUUUCUUUCUUCUCUUGUCACCCUUUGUUGCAGUCUGGUGUGUUCUGGCCACACGCUUCCCUCGCCACCUCUUAGCUAUUCGAAAACCUCCAGCUUCACCUUCCCGGCUAGACCCCCGGGCUGGGCGGAGCUUCUAGCUCUAACUGGACCCCCAUGGAUCCACUCCAGAAAUGGAACCCAGCGUUGGUUUCCGGAUCUUCCCAGGUGACCGCUGGGGAGAACUCGCAGGAGGGUGCGGCAGCCUCUCAGCCUUCUUCCUCGGAACAGCUAAUGAUGGGCCUCAGCGGCCUGAACCCCAGUCCUGGUCCUGGCCUCUCUGCCCCUCUGCCAGAGGGGCUGUUCCAGCAGCAGUACAGGGAGGAGAAGACCCUGCGGGAGCGGCGCUGGGAGCGGCUGGGCUUCCCUCAGAGGAAGAAAGCAUUCCUGGGUCACCUGAGACGCAGGCACCGCGAUCACAUGGCACCUUACCCAGUGGAAAGGGAGACCAGGGUCUACCCCACAGGCGACAGAGCUCAGAAUCGGUUCCGAUGUGAAUGUCGCUACUGCCAGGGCCACAGGCCGAGUAUUUCUGGGCUCUCUGGCGAGAGGAAUGGGGCCCCCAACCCUUCCUCCUGGGAAACGCUAGUGCAGGGCCUCAGCGGCUUGACCCUCAGCCUGGGCACCAACCGGUCUGGCCUUCUGCCAGAAGGGGCACAGCAGCAGCAGCAGGAGCAAGAGGAGAAGUGCCAACUGGAGAAGCAGCAGGAAAGCAAGAGAAUGUUCCAGAGGCUGCUCAAGCAGUGGUUGGAAGAAAACUGAGAGCCCCCUGCCCCCUUUCAUGGGGCGGAGACCUGAAGGGAUUCAGACAGUGCUGUGUUGCCAGCUCCUGGGGGUGGGCUCCUUCUGGGGACCAGACAGUCAGCUGUUGUCGGAGGAGUCCCAAGACUAGUUUUGUGACUGGAUGGAUUCCUAUUGGCGUGAGAUUUGACCCACUCCCAGGGAGGUCCUCCUCUUCCUGCCUGUCAUCUGUGAAGCGCUGUGGGGCACCCUGGGGCAAGGCAGACUGCACACCAGUGGACCUCACCUCAUCCCAUAUGGCUCUCAUGCCGCAUGUUGUCGCUUUCCCAGCCUGGAUCUGCGUCUUUGCUCCCUACCUUGUUGUCAGUAAGAUAUAAGAUGUCUAUGUAGUGUGAAUGCCUUGUUCAUGUCCUUGUGCUUUUGUGCCGUUUUAUCGACUGCCUCCUGGGAGCAGUGCUAGGGCUGUUUGAAAUGGCGGUGCGCAACACUGAGAUCCAGGUUCGAGAAUCUGCAGCUAAACAAAGUGUGGGAAAGGGGUGUGGCAUUGGAACUUGGUGGCUCACUAUUGUACUGUCUGUGUAAACUAUUAUGACUAUGAUAAGCUAACUGUAAGUAAAUGUUUCCCUGCUUCUUAACCAUUGAGUAGUAUUCCCUCCGCGCAGGAUUUUCUGAUGGGGUACCUCAUCGUCAAUACCAAAUAAACACGUGUAUGAAAGGAAAGUAACUUUAGAAUUCAGGUUUGUUGAUCGAUAGUGGUUUGUUUCUUGUUGGACCUUGAGAUCCCCGACCAGCAGACCAGAGCAUGUCAAGAGGAGCUCUGCACUGUGGAGAUUCAGAAUGGGGGAGAAGGGGGCUCAAGAACCCUGUCCGGUCACUGUUUCAGGUGCUGUAGUGGGACCAGCAUUCAGACCAGUCAGGCAGCGAGGUUGGAAGCAGGGUCCCCAGAUCCCAGUAGGAGCCCAUGCUGGUUGCCGCUGAUGCCCUGGCUGAGGGGUCCAGGGCCAUUCCUUGUCACCCGGUGCACUGGUUUGGUGAAAGUGUACAGCAGUUUUCCGCCUGCUUCCUGAGAACCAGAGCAUCACUGAGUUAUUUCAAAACUGUAUCUGGAUUUAGACACGUUCUUUUGAUUUCAGGAAGCCUGAGUGAUUAAAUCUACCUAUUUUCCCCUACAGAAGCCCGUGAUGUGUAUCCAGCCACGGACCAUGUGAUUCCUCUGAGCCGAAAACAAAUUCUGCUUUGUGUCAGUCUGUUUUUAGGGAGGCCCCAGCACUACAUUGCUGCAGAAGUCUGCGCGUCUCCUGCCAACACAAGUGGCUUGAGAGCAGGUAAGUUUCUUAGAUUUUCAACUUGGGAUCCCCUCAGAGAACUUGAGAGCUAAACUGACCCGAUCAGGAUCUCGUCUCCCAGUUCCAAGGGAGAGGGUAAAUAAAGAAGGGCGAAUUCUUUCCUGAAACUCAAAGGCCUAAAUCCUAGAACGGGGAUUCUGCAGUGUUCAGAAGGGAUGACAGGGUGAUGCACAUUGGCUGGUUCUUUACCAGGUGUCAGACAGUAUCCUGCGUGUUUCUAUAUGUUAGCUCUUUUUAUCCCCACCACAGACCCAUCACUUAGCAACAAUGUCAGCCCCACAGUAGAGAGCUUGGCCAGGGUCCCCUGGGCGGCAAGAGGCAGAACUGGCACACAAGCCUAGGCAAGGUGGAGUCUAGCUGGCAACCUGAACCUGUUCCCCCUUUGUAAUGGCUAUUGCAAAGUCACCUUACUGACACCUCAUGCCUUCAAGGACCAAGUCUUGGUAAGAUGUGUUGUUGAAUCCUCAGCACAGCGCAACAGGGCAGGGAUGCUUAUUUGUUGCUGAGAGUCUGUGGAGGUUGUAAAGUGGUGGCCAGAGAGGCAAGCCUUUGUCUGACUCCCCACACACUGAGUCACGCUCCUCAGACCUCGCCUCACCAUCCUCAGUUCAUCGGCCACACCAGCUCCGUGAUGCCAAUGACGACCAAGCGUUAAACCAAUCCCCCGGGGUUCAAUUUCCACACUUGAACUCCCCCUAGUCUAGGCCAUGCUGACGGUUGUGGUGGGGAAAUGAGGAAGAAUGGCGCCGUUGGUCCUUGCCCUUAGGCACUGAGCAUUGAAUCAGGGAGGAAGAUUGGGCACUGUCUCAGUCUCUUUUGUAACAAGAUACUACAGACUGGGCAAUUAAUACAGAAGAGAAAGUUAUUUCUCAUGGUUCUGGAUGCCUGGAAGUCCAAGAUCAAAGUACCUGCGUCUGGUUUCUGGUGAGGACCUUCUUCUCACAUGGCAGAAGGUGGAAGGGCAAGCGGAGAUGGACGUCGUUCCUUUCAUGGCAGUGGAGCCAAACCCAUUCACACAAGCCCCCUUUUAACAGAAUUAAUGCAUUCAUGAGGGCAGAUCCCUGGGGACCUAAAUACUUCCCGUUAGGCCACAGCCCACCCCACCCAACCCCGACACUACCACAUUGGGGUUUAAGUUUGCACAUCAGUUUCAGAGGGGACAAAAAGGUUCAAACCAUAGCAUGCACCAACGGAUGGGCUAGGGAGCAGGCAAUCGAUCCCUUGUGUGGGGCGGUUUGUUCAGGGUGAGAGGAGUGAGAAGGAACCCCGUUGGGGCUCCUCCAUGCAGACACGGAGGGCUUGUGGAGGAAUUCAUUACUACAGAGCAAAUCAAAGUAUGCAGGAGAUUGUGUGGAGAAUGGCACCAUAUCCCCGCCUCCAAGACAAAGGUCUCUAUACCCAUGGAUGGGUUGUAGGAGGGGUUCUGGAAGGGAUGUCUCAGACAUCAGACUAUCCAAAGCUACAGGCUAGGAGCUGGAAUCUCAUGGUGUCCACAGACAUCCGACAUGUCAAAUUCUAAACCGGACACUGAAUGAAAGGUACCAGCAGGCAAGAAAACACUGGGGCAGAGAAAGGUUACAAUGGAUGCACAGGAUGAAAACCUGGACAGAUUUAGAGCAUUCCUAUGAAACGGAGAGAGGAAAUGAGAAAUAUCUUCCCACAAUUGAGAAGUCAGGCCCAGGUGACUUUGGGGGUGAAUUCUACCCAACAUUUAAAGAAGAAAUAGUACCAAUCCUUUGCAGACGCUUCCAGAAUGUGGAAGAGGGUGGGGGGUUGGGGGGCAUUUCCCAACUCAUUUGGUGAAGAGCAUUUACUCUGCUACUAAAGCCAGACAGAGACAUCACAGGAAUGCGACAGACCGAUAUCCACCAUGAAUAUCAACACAAAAAGGCUGAAGAAAAUAUGAACGAGUCAGGUGUAGAGGUGCAAACCUGUAAUCCCAGCUAUUUGGGAGACUGAGGCCGAAGGAUUCAAAAGUUUGAAGCCGUCCUGGGCACCUUAGCGAGGCCCCGUUGCAAACUGAAAAAGAAAAAUUAUUUUUACAGGGCCGGGAGUGUACUUCAGUGGUAGGGCGCAUGACCAGCAUGUGUGGGGCCCUGGGUUCCAUCCUCAGUGGCACCAAAAAUAAAGAAAAUAUUCAUGAACCAUAUCCAGCAACAGAUACAAAAUGUUACGCAACAUUUCCAGGUAAAAUUUCUCCUAGGAAUCCACGAUUGGUUAACAUUCCAAUUUCAAUUAAGGUCUUCCACCAUGUUAAUAUAAUAAAGGACAGAAGCGGCAUCAUCAUCUUGAUAGGAAAAGAAAAGGCGUUUGACAAAACCCAAGACACAUUCAUGGAAAAAGAAUUUCUCAACCAACCCCACAUGGUUAGAAGGAAAGGCUCUCAACCUAUAAAGAGCAUCUACCAUAAACCUACAGCUGACAUUAUAUAUUGUAGUGAAAUAACAAACACUUUUCCCGUAAGACUGAGAGCAAGGCAAGGAUGCUCGUUCCCACUGUUCUCUCCACAGGUUCUAUCUGGCGCAGUCACGUAAGAAAAAGAAGUGGAAACGUGGAUACAUUAGAAAGGAAAACACAUGACCACUCAGAGACGUGCUGUGGUUUGUCCCCUCCAAAAUUCAUGUUGAAAUUGAAUCCCCAUUUUUGAGAUCUUAGGAGGGGCCUGUGAGAGGUGAUGAGCGCUCUGCCCUCACCAAUGGACUAGUCUAGGACGAAUCGGGUAAGAGGUUAAUGGGUUGAUCUGGAGAGUGGGUCUGCUAUGAAAGCCAGUUAGGACGGUACCCUCUCUGAUGCUCCAUGUCUCCCUGCCACGAGAUGCCCUACUCCACCUGGGGACCCUGCCAGGAAGAGGGCCAUGGCCAGAUGGGGAACCUCGACUCAGAACCAUGAGCCAAAAUAAACCUCUUUCCUUUAUACCUUCCCAAGUUGAGGAUAUUGGCAACAGCAAACAGGCUAAGACAACGUGUACUCCAUGCUUAUGGCAGUAUUAUUCAUGAUGGCCCCAGAUGAAGACAAUUAAAUGCCUGCCAGUUGUUGAAGGUAUAAAUAAAAGGUGGAAAAAAUAAAAUUAAAAAAAUGAAAAAGUGGAAUUCAGGUAUCCAUAUAGUAGAAUAUUAAUGAGCAAAGUUUAGGGACAAACUACUAAUACGUGCUAUGGCUUGUUUGAAACUUGAAAAUAUUUUCCUAAUGGCCAGAACCCGGGGAGUGGGGAGAGGGGAAGUCCGCUUCUUGCAUGAGUCAGUUUAUAGGGAAUUCCUGGGCCUGGCGGUAGUCAUGGAGAUUGACUGCUACAUGGGUAUGAGGGAAUCUUUUGGGGGCAAGGGAUAGAAGCAUUCUGAAACAGGGUUGUGGUGAUGGUUGCACAACCGCAUGAAUGUACAGAACGUCACUGCAUUGUACCUUUAGUUGCAUGAAUUUCAUGGUAUGCCUCAAUAAAGAUGUUUUUAAAAAUGUAAUGCACA
This 6514-nucleotide long non-coding RNA is filed under the name Marmota monax (woodchuck). Lineage: Eukaryota; Metazoa; Chordata; Mammalia; Rodentia; Sciuridae. The record is from RNAcentral.